This 320-nucleotide ribosomal RNA is filed under the name uncultured eukaryote. Its description in RNAcentral is "partial 18S ribosomal RNA". It matches the Rfam family "Eukaryotic small subunit ribosomal RNA", at positions 1470 to 1796 of the family's 1831-position model. The record is from RNAcentral.
CCCUUAGAUGUUCUGGGCCGCACGCGCGCUACACUGACGAAUGCAACGAGCUUAUAACCUUGGCCGAAAGGUCUGGGUAAUCUCCAAAUUUCGUCGUGAUGGGGAUAGAUUAUUGCAAUUAUUAAUCUUCAACGAGGAAUGCCUAGUAAGCGCAAGUCAUCAGCUUGCAUUGAUUACGUCCCUGCCCUUUGUACACACCGCCCGUCGCACCUACCGAUUGAAUGGUCCGGUGAAAUCUCGGGACGGCGGCUUGGUCGCUUGCGUCCGACUGCUGAAACUUGAUUAAACCAUAUCAUUUAGAGGAAGGUGAANUCGUAACA